GCGGGUAUGGUGGAACUGGUAGACACGUUAGACUUAGGAUCUAAUGCCGCAAGGCGUGGGGGUUCGAGUCCCUUUACCCGCA
This 82-nucleotide transfer RNA is filed under the name Burkholderiales bacterium. RNAcentral describes it as "tRNA-Leu". It matches the Rfam family "tRNA". From Rfam's summary of the family: Transfer RNA (tRNA) molecules are approximately 80 nucleotides in length. Their secondary structure includes four short double-helical elements and three loops (D, anti-codon, and T loops). RNAcentral also lists the same sequence under 1 other name. The record is from RNAcentral. Lineage: Bacteria; Pseudomonadati; Pseudomonadota; Betaproteobacteria; Burkholderiales.